UAAGGAUGAUCAAGAAUUGGAACUCUUUUAAAAAAGAACUUUCCUUUUUGAUCUCAUUAGACACAAGGUUUAAACAUGAGUUUGUUUAAACUGUGCAUAUGAGGCUAACUCUCAAUGAAUUUCUCUCACCAAAAGAGACCCCUCUUGGUAACAAAGAGGAUCCCCCCCCCGUCUCUUUGAGGCCCCUACCUCGGAUGAGAGAACUAUUUGAGGGCUUAGUGCUCAUGUGUUGAUACAAUAAAUGCAGAACAUGCCGUCUUCGUUUCUCUUUCUUCAGAUGAUGAUCCCAAGCCUUCUGGCGAUCACUUAAAACAAGCCUAGCCUGCUUUAAAAAAAAUAGGGCAUUUAGAUAUACUUUUAAGCUCUUAUGGAUCUUAAAAGUCAUAAAUUUAAAAAAAGGCUUUAUGAAGAAAGCACUUUAAGCUUUUCCAAUAAUUUAAGAUGAUACCGGGGAAGGUUUUCCGGUUUAUCCCGGAGGGCUUG
RNAcentral lists this unclassified non-coding RNA (483 nucleotides) under uncultured Bartonella sp. RNAcentral describes it as "partial 16S-23S ribosomal RNA intergenic spacer". The record is from RNAcentral. Lineage: Bacteria; Pseudomonadati; Pseudomonadota; Alphaproteobacteria; Hyphomicrobiales; Bartonellaceae.